RNAcentral lists this ribosomal RNA (256 nucleotides) under Streptomyces sp. ISO397_OTU116. RNAcentral describes it as "partial 16S ribosomal RNA". It matches the Rfam family "Bacterial small subunit ribosomal RNA", at positions 29 to 289 of the family's 1533-position model. The record is from RNAcentral. Lineage: Bacteria; Bacillati; Actinomycetota; Actinomycetes; Kitasatosporales; Streptomycetaceae.
ACGAACGCUGGCGGCGUGCUUAACACAUGCAAGUCGAACGAUGAAGCCCUUCGGGGUGGAUUAGUGGCGAACGGGUGAGUAACACGUGGGCAAUCUGCCCUGCACUCUGGGACAAGCCCUGGAAACGGGGUCUAAUACCGGAUAACACUUUUCCCUGCAUGGGGAAAGGUUAAAAGCUCCGGCGGUGCAGGAUGAGCCCGCGGCCUAUCAGCUUGUUGGUGGGGUAAUGGCCUACCAAGGCGACGACGGGUAGCCG